RNAcentral lists this long non-coding RNA (204 nucleotides) under Lathyrus oleraceus (garden pea). RNAcentral describes it as "Pisum sativum (pea) long non-coding RNA (PSAT_LNC026624)". Lineage: Eukaryota; Viridiplantae; Streptophyta; Magnoliopsida; Fabales; Fabaceae. The record is from RNAcentral.
CUCAACUCGGGUAAAGCUUGGGGAAGGGGAUUUAGGUGUUUAGAAAGUUUGGAGGAUGGUUGGUGAAGGUUUUUGGAUGAUUGUUUGAAGUUAAAACACUUGGAAUCUCAAAACACGAUGUACUUUUUUUUUAAAGCUCUAGGUGAAAAGUGCAGUAGAGGUUUGAGGGGCUUAAGAGCUUGGUUUUCUAAUGGAACACCUUCA